ACAAGUCUUACUGAGGAGCAAAGACAGUUGAAGACAUUUUGUUGCCUGAGGCAAUGGAGACAAUUGGUGUCUCCUCUCACUUCAUGUAAUAGAAGUUGACCAGACUGGCAGAUACAAAAAAUCUGUGUGUCCAGAAGCAAGCAUCACCUAAUGAAAAGGCAAUGAAAAGGGGGCUAGAAGAAAUGCUGAAGGAGCCAUCCUUUGUGUUCCAUAAUUUAGAGCAAUGCACCAUGGAAGGACAGAGAAGAAGGCCUUCUGCAUGGGCAGCUACCAGAAGAUGCAUUGUAUCAAGGAGGUGUAAUGCCCUGUCACUGUUGC
Molecule: long non-coding RNA, 318 nt
Organism: Sceloporus undulatus (fence lizard)
Lineage: Eukaryota; Metazoa; Chordata; Lepidosauria; Squamata; Phrynosomatidae
Exons: 3
Source: RefSeq, a predicted model, not a curated record